Molecule: long non-coding RNA, 356 nt
Filed under: Musa acuminata (dwarf banana)
Lineage: Eukaryota; Viridiplantae; Streptophyta; Magnoliopsida; Zingiberales; Musaceae
Description: long non-coding RNA (MACU_LNC011236)
Source: RNAcentral
UUUACUUUUUAAUUUUUGUUUCAUUUGUAGUUUUAGUUCACCAUCACUUGAGCUUAUGCUCGAGUGGUCUUCAAUUGUUCUAUGUCCCAAAUCCUUCCUGUUCUUUGGAAGGUGGUUCUCAAGUUCUUCACGUGCAUUGCACGUCAUUUCAUAUGUGAUCAAUGAACCAAUUAGUUCUUCAAGUGGAAAUUGGUUCAAGUUUUUCGAUUCUUGAAUAGCAGUUACUUUUGAAUCCCAAGUUUUAGAAAGUGAGCGCAAAACUUUUUUAACGAGUUCAAAAUCCGAAAAGCUUUUACCAAGUGAUUUUAAACCAUUGACGACAUCCGUAAAACGGGUGUACAUGUCAACAACGGUUU